RNA transcript from Herpailurus yagouaroundi (jaguarundi), 2562 nucleotides. It is a transcript of the gene named DnaJ heat shock protein family (Hsp40) member C21, with no coding region annotated. The record is from RefSeq and is a predicted model, not a curated record. The transcript is spliced from 13 exons. NCBI's taxonomy places the organism in Eukaryota, Metazoa, Chordata, Mammalia, Carnivora, Felidae.
GCCGCUGCCGCCGCCGCCGCCGCGCUCGCUGGCUGGCCCAGUGCGGGCGCCGGACUCCCGCCGCCGAAGAGAAUCAGCAGCGCCGUCGCCACCACUUCGGCCCGGGCCCGGGCCCCGGCCCCGCCCCGGGCCCCGGCCCCAGCCCCCUGCCCGGUCGGGCGAUGAAGUGUCACUACGAGGCGCUAGGGGUGCGGCGCGACGCCAGCGAAGAGGAGCUCAAGAAGGCCUAUCGGAAGCUGGCCCUGAAAUGGCACCCGGAUAAGAAUCUGGAUAAUGCCGCAGAAGCAGCUGAACAAUUUAAGUUAAUCCAAGCAGCGUACGACGUGUUGAGUGACCCUCAGGAAAGAGCAUGGUAUGAUAAUCAUAGAGAGGCUCUACUGAAAGGUGGGCUUGAUGGAGAAUAUCAAGAUGACAGCUUAGAUUUGCUUCACUAUUUCACUGUUACCUGUUACUCUGGUUAUGGAGAUGAUGAAAAGGGCUUUUAUACGGUGUAUCGUAACGUUUUUGAAAUGAUUGCAAAGGAAGAACGAGAAUCCGUGUUAGAAGAGGAUAUGGAGGAUUUCCCAACUUUUGGAGACUCUCAGAGUGACUAUGACACGGUAGUCCAUCCUUUCUACGCUUACUGGCAGAGUUUCUGCACUCAAAAGAACUUUGCUUGGAAGGAAGAAUAUGAUACACGACAAGCUUCAAACCGCUGGGAGAAGCGAGCCAUGGAAAAAGAAAACAAAAAGAUCCGAGACAAAGCAAGGAAGGAGAAGAACGAGCUUGUGCGCCAGCUGGUAGCUUUCAUCCGGAAGAGAGAUAAAAGAGUGCAGGCGCAUCGGAAACUCGUGGAGGAACAGAACGCGGAGAAGGCGCGGAAGGCCGAGGAGAUGAGGCGGCAGCAGAAGCUAAAGCAGGCCAAACUGGCUGGCCAGUACAAGGAACAGAGCUGGAUGACCACGGCCGACCUGGAGAGGGAGCUCAAGGAGAUGGAGGCGCGCUACGAGAAGGAGUUUGGAGACGGCUCAGCCGAAGAUGAGGUGGAGGGGCCUGAGCUCAGAGACGAGCACGAUGGUAGAGACAGUGAUGAGGUCGAGGAUGCUGAGCUGUACGAUGACCUUUACUGCCCAGCGUGUGACAAAUCUUUCAAGACGGAAAAGGCCAUGAGGAAUCAUGAAAAAUCAAAGAAGCAUCGGGAAAUGGUUGCCUUGUUAAAACAACAGUUGGAGGAGGAGGAAGAAAAUUUCUCAGGACCUCAAACUGAUGAAAAUCCGUUGAAUGCCAAUUCUGAAGACGAUCUAGAAGAUGCACCAAAACAAAAGCUUUCUAAAAAACAGAAGAAAAAGAAACAGAAACCAGCACAGAAUUAUGAUGAUAAUUUCAAUGAAAAUGGAACUGGAGAAGGAGUAAAGGUUGAGUCAGAAGAUACCAACUUAAAUCAAGACCAUGCCAAAGAAUUCGAAUGUAGUCCCCAAGAAAACAUCAGUGCCACUGAGACUGUUGAACGAUGUGAUGACCCUAAAAGUGAAGCUAAAAAUGCUCCUAAACCCAAAGGAAAGAAAGCCAAAGAUAUGAAGAAAUCUGUCAAAGUACCUGCUGAACAACAGGCAGUGAGUGAUGUUCUUAUCAGCUGUACAACCUGCCAUAGUGAAUUUCCAUCCCGGAAUAAACUUUUUGACCAUCUGAAGGCCACAGGUCAUGCGAGAGCACCUUCAUCAUGUUCUUUAAACAGUGUAACAAGUAGUCGAAACAAGAAAGAGAAACGUAAAAACAGAUAGAAAUUCUGUCAACACUUUUUCUUUUUGAUUGUUUCUAGAUUUUAAAACCAAAAACUGAACUGAAAUCAUCUAAACAGUUAAAAUUUCAGUGAUCUGCAAUUUCUUGCAUUGUGGAAGAUUAUUUUUUAUCUUGUAAAAACAUUUUUUCGUUUAAUAUAUAUAUUUUUAAACAUUUCAUUAAUGGUUGAAUUCUACUUUGCCAUCUGAAUUGACUUGAAUGUCUCAAAACAGACCGGCAGAUCAAGAUUGAAUGUUAGGAUGAAGAAAUGAAAAUUGAUUUCUUCUGAAGUAAAAUUGAUUCAGCUCGAUGAUGUCUGUGAAAGUUGAAGAUAUGGAUAGCCUGUGACCCUUGGCUCUGUGACCCUGGGCACAUAACUAGAGUCUCCCUUCUCAGAGUCCACAGAGCUGCCGUGUGAACUUCACCUGGGAACUCUCUCUGGAGUGCAGCUCUCAGGUUCCGCCCGGGACUUGCCGUGUGACCAUCUGUUGUUAACAAGAUUUCUCAGGGGAUUCCUACCCUCCUUGAAGCUUGAGGAGCAGUACUCAGGGACCCUUGCAUGUGUGUACAGGGCACAUUAUUGCUACAUGGACGCUCACAGCUGAAUUGUUUUAAAAUACUUAAAUGUCCAUGAACAAGACAACGGGUAAACUGAGGCCUAUUUAUAAGUGGGCAAACAAUUGAGCAGUUAAAAUGAGGGAACUUGAUCUGUAAUAUCAGUGGCUAGCUGUCGAAAAAAUGUUGGGUGAGAAUAAGCCGAUCAGAAGAUGAAACAUAUGCCAUUUAUAAAGUUUUUAAAAAUAC